This 438-nucleotide ribosomal RNA is filed under the name uncultured bacterium. RNAcentral's name for it is "bacterial SSU rRNA". It matches the Rfam family "Bacterial small subunit ribosomal RNA", at positions 338 to 768 of the family's 1533-position model. The record is from RNAcentral.
CCUACGGGGGGCAGCAGUGGGGAAUAUUGCGCAAUGGACGAAAGUCUGACGCAGCGACGCCGCGUGAGGGAUGAAGGUUUUCGGAUCGUAAACCUCUGUCAGGAGGGAAGAAAGCGCAUGGCGCCAAUCAGCCAUGCGUUGACGGUACCUCCAAAGGAAGCGCCGGCUAACUCCGUGCCAGCAGCCGCGGUAAUACGGAGGGCGCGAGCGUUAAUCGGAAUUACUGGGCGUAAAGCGCGCGUAGGCUGUUGUGUAAGUUGGGGGUGAAAUCCCACGGCUCAACCGUGGAACAGCCCUUGAUACUGCGCGACUUGAAUCCGGGAGAGGGUGGCGGAAUUCCAGGUGUAGGAGUGAAAUCCGUAGAUAUCUGGAGGAACAUCAGUGGCGAAGGCGGCCACCUGGACCGGUAUUGACGCUGAGGCGCGAAAGCGUGGGGAG